This 77-nucleotide transfer RNA is filed under the name Patescibacteria group bacterium. RNAcentral describes it as "tRNA-Ala". It matches the Rfam family "tRNA". Rfam says of the family: Transfer RNA (tRNA) molecules are approximately 80 nucleotides in length. The record is from RNAcentral.
GGGCCUGUAGCUCAGCUGGUUAGAGCGCUUGCAUGGCAUGCAAGAGGUCGGGGGUUCAAAUCCCCCCAGGUCCACCA